AAUGUUGUAACAGAUUCUGCUAACAAAGAGAUAAACAAAACAAUUUCUGUCCUCAUGGGUGAUAGGAUGUGAAAAGUGUUACAAUCAGCCAGCAGAGAAGCAUGCUGGGACAGCCAUUCAUUCUGCCACCCAGGAUGUGAGGGAGCUUCUAAGAGGUAUUGAUAAAGGAACAGGGCCUUCCAUUGCUCUUUUCUAGGUGGGCAGCCUAUAGGAAAGGGGAUUUACAACAGUGGAAAGGAGCAGUAAAAGUGCUGUGGUUAACGCGAAUCACAUGCCCCCAGAACAGCCUGUGUCCACAGGAUACCAUCACUGAGCUGGAAUACAACAUGGGGCAUCUGAAAAGAAGAACCAAAAUAGAUGCCUGGUCUUCAACUAAAUUACCUGUUCAUCUUUUUCCAGGAAACCUUGGAACACCAAGGAAUCAGCAGUCAAACGAGCUCAGUCUCUCAGAACACAUGUGGGGGAAUUGAGUAUUUCAACUUUUAGGUAGACAGUUUCUACAAGCUAAAUAGUGGAACGAAAGGAGCCAAAUAAAGAAGUUAUAAAACACGUGCAUAUUUAGCCCCUACUUUUUAUUAAACUAAGACUUUUUAUUCACAUAUCAA
RNAcentral lists this long non-coding RNA (605 nucleotides) under Homo sapiens (human). Its description in RNAcentral is "HSALNT0344728". Lineage: Eukaryota; Metazoa; Chordata; Mammalia; Primates; Hominidae. The record is from RNAcentral.